CAAAUGCUGGGAUUUCUCCAAUGUCCUCCAACAUUAGAUCAAUGCAAUUUGCAGCAUAUUAAGUCGAGUAGAAUUGCGGUCUUUUUGCUUCAAGCAAUUUUCCUAAAUUUAAAUGUAAAGUGUUAAAACAAAAAAAUAAAAACGUUGAAUAUAAAAUAUUGGUUCGGAUCAUACAUACCAGAUUUUAUGUAGUUCUUUGCAUUGUCUGUGAUAACUUGAACUACAUAAGCUUCUCCAAUCUCCUCAACCAUCUCAUCUAGCAUCUUAAACAACAAUGCCGCAUCUUUCACCACUUCUGAGACAUCUUUCAACUUCAUGAAAACAGAACCUUUAGGGGAAUUAACUAGGAAGUUGACAAUGUCUUUCUUAGCCACUGAAUCAUGCCAACCAUCAAACAUAAGUGAACAACCUUUACUAGCCCACUUGUUUUUGUUCUCCUCAAUUUGGACAAAGUGUUCUGCACUUCUUUAGUAAACAGUGGAACUCUUAAUUCAUACAUGUUUGGUGGUUUUAAUCGUACUCCAUAUUCCCCAAUUAACUUAAUCAUCUGCCAAAACUAGGACAGUUGACUGCAUUGAACACAAGACCAGCAUCCAAAACC
This 601-nucleotide long non-coding RNA is filed under the name Brassica napus (rape). Its description in RNAcentral is "long non-coding RNA (BNAP_LNC009910)". The record is from RNAcentral. Lineage: Eukaryota; Viridiplantae; Streptophyta; Magnoliopsida; Brassicales; Brassicaceae.